UACGAAGGGGGCGAGCGUUGUUCGGAAUUACUGGGCGUAAAGGGCGCGUAGGCGGCGACUCUAGUCAGAUGUGAAAGUCCCGGGCUUAACCUGGGGACUGCAUUUGAUACUGGGUUGCUUGAAUUCGGGAGAGGAUAGCGGAAUUCCCAGUGUAGAGGUGAAAUUCGUAGAUAUUGGGAAGAACACCGGUGGCGAAGGCGGCUAUCUGGACCGACAUUGACGCUGAGGCGCGAAAGCGUGGGGAGCAUACAGG
RNAcentral lists this ribosomal RNA (253 nucleotides) under uncultured bacterium. RNAcentral's name for it is "partial 16S ribosomal RNA". It matches the Rfam family "Bacterial small subunit ribosomal RNA", at positions 524 to 776 of the family's 1533-position model. The record is from RNAcentral.